RNA transcript from Gastrolobium bilobum, 1362 nucleotides. It is a transcript of the gene named FBD-associated F-box protein At1g66310-like, with no coding region annotated. The transcript has 3 exons. The record is from RefSeq and is a predicted model, not a curated record. NCBI's taxonomy places the organism in Eukaryota, Viridiplantae, Streptophyta, Magnoliopsida, Fabales, Fabaceae.
GGGAGAAGAACAAGAACAGGGUUUCGAUUUCGUUCAGUAAGAAAAAAAAUUGGAUCCUGGAGGGCAUUCACUGCGUUUGGAGCUACACAAGAAUUGUUAUACUCGAAUGCUUGUUCGUCGGAGUGAAAUGGAGGUGGUAGGGAAUGAGAGUGAAGAACCUCAUAUGAAGAGAGCAAAGCAGAAUGAGAACAAUGAAGACAGGCUCAGUGAUUUUCCUGAUAGUGUUCUCAUUCACUUGAUGUCAUUUGUACCAACAAAAGAUGCUGUUCGAACUUGCGUGUUGUCGACAAGAUGGAAGGACCUCUGGAAGCGUCUUCCUACGCUCAUUUUACAUUCCUCAGAUUUUGGAUUAAAGUCUCUUUUCAACAAAUUUGUGCCUAAGGUUCUAUCUUUUCGUGAUGGCUCUGUUCCAAUCCACAAUGUUGACUUCAAUUAUAAGGGUCGUGUUUCUCCCCCACUUGUGACAAGGGUUUUGAGAUAUGCAGCAUCCCAUAAUGUCCAGCAAUUAAAACUCUCUGUCAAUUGUGAUGUCGAAGUUUUACCUUACUUAUUCUGCCAGACUUUAACAUCUCUUGAUAUUUCAGUUUUUGGGGGAUUUAAUCCUUCAUUUCCUAAUUCACUGCAUUUCACAGCUUUAACAAGUUUGCGUCUCCGUAACUUUUCCUUUGGUGACAGUGAAUAGUGGCACCCUUCUCGUCAUGUACUAAUUUGAAGACUUUGGUCAUUGAAAACUGUGUUAUAAGGGAUACACAAACCCUAUGCAUUUCAAAUGCUACUCUUGUCAACUUGACCAUACAUGCUUACAAAGCUUACAAAAUUAUGUUAUCAACUCCCAAUCUUUGUUCUUUUGCUUUCACGGGUGUUAUUGCUCAUCAAAUCUCUGCAAGCAAUCUUUCUUUUAUCAAAGAAGUAAGUAUUGAUGCCGAACAAUGGUCGCCAUCGCGUGACUUGCACUCAGCUGAUAUCCUAGUUAGCUGGUUGCAAUUAUUUGCUAAUGUUAGAUUGUUGACAAUCUCAGCAAAAGCUCUUGAGGUUCUUUUCUCAAUAUCAGAUUUAUUGAAUACGGAAGCCAUUUGCUUGGGUAACUUAAAGAUAUUGGAAGUGAAACUGUACACAUCUCUAUAUAAAAAAGCUCGGAAAGCUUUGAAAUCAAGGAAUGCAGAAAUAAAACCACCUUUUCCUUUUGAAGUAGCGAAGUACCUGAUUCGAAGCUCCCCAGGUUCAAGGAUUACCCUUGCUGAAUGUGAACUGUUACUUUAAGUCUUUGGAUGGAGAUUCAUUCCCCGAAUGUUGUUAGUUAUUACUUAUUACCUUUUAACUUUUUAAUGUUUAAGAUGUUGAUUGUUCUUUGCUCCAUGUAUC